This is a non-coding RNA of Acanthosepion pharaonis, 113 nucleotides long. Lineage: Eukaryota; Metazoa; Mollusca; Cephalopoda; Sepiida; Sepiidae. The record is from the annotation of a GenBank genome assembly.
UACGGCCACAUCACGUUCAAACACCGCUUCCUGUACGAUCACCGAAGUUAAGCAAUGUCGAGCCUGGUCAGCACAUAGGCGAGUGAUCGAUUGAGAAUACCAGGUGGUGUAAG